UUUCAGUACACGAAAAUGAGGCAUUGCCUCAGUUUAUAUAGCCUCGAAUUGUGACUGUUCGGAAAGGCUUGGUGCCUGUUCGUGAAAGGCCAUGCCUUUUUUUUCUUAACAAUAAGAACGUUGGGAAGUUUACAGUUAACAGAUUAAUAUUUUUUCCCGCGGGAAUUAAAAAUAAUUUCAGAAAAUGAAGAUUGAAUUUUAAAUA
Molecule: long non-coding RNA, 205 nt
Filed under: Nicotiana benthamiana
Lineage: Eukaryota; Viridiplantae; Streptophyta; Magnoliopsida; Solanales; Solanaceae
Description: long non-coding RNA (NBEN_LNC019210)
Source: RNAcentral